Molecule: ribosomal RNA, 253 nt
Filed under: uncultured bacterium
Lineage: Bacteria
Description: partial 16S ribosomal RNA
Rfam family: Bacterial small subunit ribosomal RNA
Source: RNAcentral
UACAGAGGAGCCAAGCGUUGUCCGGAUUGACUGGGCGUAAAGCGCACGCAGGCGGUUGCGCGCGUGGGGUGUGAAAUCUGGCCGCUUAACGGCCAGGCGCCAUCCCAUACGGCGCGACUGGAGUGAUGCAGAGGUCGAUGGAAUUGCUGGUGUAGUGGUGAAAUGCGUAGAGAUCGGCAGGAACACCCAGGGGGAAACCAGUCGACUGGGCAUCUACUGACGCUGAGACGCGAAAGCGUGGGGAGCAAACAGG